UCAUGACCUUGUUAGGUGAGGCUCCGUAUGGAGACAAGCUACUGCCCGGAAACGUCUAAAGACGCCAACGGGUCAGCAAAAAAUUUCGGAUGAAGGGGAUUUUUAAUGUAGCUGAGGAAUUUUCUCUAUGCCAUAUGAAGCUAAAGCUCAACGACAGAGGUGUUUU
Molecule: small RNA, 166 nt
Filed under: Alkalibacterium sp. 20
Lineage: Bacteria; Bacillati; Bacillota; Bacilli; Lactobacillales; Carnobacteriaceae
Also listed under: 1 other name
Description: M-box riboswitch aptamer (ykoK leader)
Rfam family: M-box riboswitch aptamer (ykoK leader)
About the family: M-box riboswitch, also know as ykoK leader is described as a metaloregulatory RNA that sense divalent metals and function as a genetic control element of genes related to divalent metal transport in bacteria.
Source: Rfam by way of RNAcentral